GAUGAACGCUGGCGGCGUGCCUAAUACAUGCAAGUCGAGCGAACGGACGAGAAGCUUGCUUCUCUGAUGUUAGCGGCGCACGGGUGAGUAACACGUGGAUAACCUCCCUAUAAGACUGAGAUAACUUCGGGAAACCGGAGCUAAUACCGGAUGAUAUUUUGAACCGCAGGGUUCAAAAGUGAAAGACGGUCUUGCGGUCACUUAUAGAGGCAUCCGCGCUGCAUUAGCUAGUUGGUAAGGUAACGGCUUACCAAGGCAACGAUGCAUAGCCGACCUGAGAGGCGGAUAGGCGACCCUGGAGCUGGACCACGCACCAUGCUCCUGCGGGAGGGAGCAGUAGGGAACCUGCCGCAAUGGGCGAAAACCUGACGGAGCAACGCGGCGUGAGUGAUGACGGUCUUGGGUUCGUGAAACUCGGUUAUGAGGUAUGAACAUAUGUGUAAGGUACUGUGCAGUGCUUGACGGUAAUUAAUCAGAAAGCCACGGCUAACUACGUG
RNAcentral lists this ribosomal RNA (497 nucleotides) under uncultured bacterium. RNAcentral's name for it is "partial 16S ribosomal RNA". It matches the Rfam family "Bacterial small subunit ribosomal RNA", at positions 28 to 507 of the family's 1533-position model. The record is from RNAcentral.